Long non-coding RNA from Heterocephalus glaber (naked mole-rat), 1828 nucleotides. Lineage: Eukaryota; Metazoa; Chordata; Mammalia; Rodentia; Bathyergidae. The record is from Ensembl.
CCAGGCUCCCGUCCCUGUCGGGCCACCGGGUCGCUAGCUUGUCCGGAGCCAUCCGUCCUUGCGCACCUUUCGGUCUCGAGCGGUGGCCCGCGAGGCGGGGACAUGGGCUCCGAGACACAUCUGGCCCGUCACUACCAUUGCUGGUUCUGUGAUGCCCGUCGGCCUCUGGCUGGUGGCAUCUGUUGCGUUGGUAUCUCAGCUCCGACGGCCCAGCCUCGUCGUCCCUUGUCCGGGCCCUGGGCUUGCUCUCUGCAGACAAGGUCUCGACCGAGCUGACCCUACUGGCGUCGAGGGCCGACAGCUAGGCUGGACCACGGCUAGAGAGAGAUCCCGAGGCAGCCUUGUCGGGAGCCACUGUGGGCUGCCCUGGGCCACCAUGAUCCCCACGGGGAAGGCCCAGGGCGGGGAGGAACCUGGGGCCUGAGCCUCCAAGGAGAGCAUGGCCAAGCGACCUGUGCUUGUCCUGGACCUCCUCCCACUGUGCCCGGGACUCAGGCAUGUGGCUUGGACAGCCCUACCGCUAGAGCUGUGAAAGGUGGGUCACCCCCAAGCCUCAAAACCCAGGCUGAAGGUUGCCAAGGCAGCGCUCUCCUGCACCCAUGUCAUUGAGGAAGACCAGAGGGGCUGAAAGGGAGCAAGGGCCCUCCACGCUUUUCGAAAACCACUCCCAGCUCUGCUCAGGAAAACUGCUGCCACCUCAGGGUUGAGGCUGACAGCUCAUUCUCAGGGGUCAGAGGGGUCGGCAGCACUUGGUGUUAAUGCCACACAGUGAGUCCCAGACAGAAAAAGCACAUGCUUUCCCCUUCACGACUUCACUGUUUAAAGGAACUAGUGAAAGCAGUCUGUUCAACACAAAAGGCCCUGGCUUCUGCCUCAGAGCUGCUCCUCCGACUGGAACCCAUCUGCUGACACUGACAUACAGGACCUCUGGUUUCCUGGCCCUGCUUUCCUUGCUUAUAGAUGAGACCAAGGCCAGCUGCAGUGCAACACAGCCAGCUGGUGCAACUCAGGAGCCUUACCUGGGGUGCUCUACAGCCAAGUGGCUUGCCUGCUCACACUGGGAGCUGCGUUAACCUGCCUAGGCCAUGCAUGAGACGUAGGGUCCAAUUCCCACUGCAGGAUCAGAAGCUGGGUCUGGGACAGUGGUUCAGGCAGCUCCUGGUUGCGCACACUGAGAUACCAAAGCCAGCCGCCAGGCAGCAAAUCUCAGACAGAUGCCCCUUGAUGCUCCAUGCUGGUGUCUCUGAAGGGGCAGCCUCGUCUGGGCGGGUGUGAACUCCGAAGCUGGACACAGCUGCGGUGGAACCAGAGUUCAGACUAGAAAGCAUUGCUCCCGGGAAUCUACAUUGCCCUCAGAGGGCAGUGUGGCCAUUUCAGACAGGAGAACCCUGCUAUUACUGUCACUUGUAAAACAGAACGUAAACAGUCUAUGAAUGUAUUUCCUUAAGGAAGCCGUUGUAAAAAUUUUUAUUAGGAGGUUAUCUAUUUAUGUAAUACUGAACUUUGGCCUACUUUGUGGUACUGUAAUGUACACAAUUUAGAAAAUUGCUAUUUCUCUUCUGUAGUCUUCCUGAAAAUAAUUGUUACAGUGUUCAUUGUACUGUAUAUAUCACUCAUCUAUUACGAAAGGAAAUUUAAAGAAUUUCGUCCAAUCAAAUUGAGGUGGGUUUUAUGAGUGAUGAGCUGAGAGUGUAACUGGCCAAACCCUGGAUUCUCAUCACAAGUGAUAUGCCUUAAGGUCCCUCCGGACCCAUGUGCCAGUGCCUGCACAGGGAGCCCAUUACAGCCUCCAACACAGACUGCGUGACCAUUUUUUUUUUUUUUUUUU